AGGUCGAAUAAUGUGUGAAAGUACACGAGCGGCGGACGGCAGAGUAACGCGUAGGAACGUACCCCAAAGUGAGGCAUAAGCCCGGGAAACCGGGUCUAAUACCGCAUAUUCUCUUCGGAGCAAAGCCUUGUGCGCUUUGGGAGCGGCCUGCGUAUGAUUAGCUUGUUGGUGAGGUAAUGGCUCACCAAGGCGACGAUCAUUAGCUGGUCUGAGAGGAUGAUCAGCCUGACUGGGACUGAGACACGGCCCAGACUCCUACGGGAGGCAGCAGUAGGGAAUUUUCCGCAAUGGGCGAAAGCCUGACGGAGCAACGCCGCGUGCAGGAGGAAGGCCUUCGGGUCGUAAACUGCUUUUAACGGGGACGAUUUUGACGGUACCCGUAGAAUAAGGAUUGGCUAAUUCCGUGCCAGCAGCCGCG
RNAcentral lists this ribosomal RNA (418 nucleotides) under uncultured soil bacterium. RNAcentral's name for it is "bacterial SSU rRNA". It matches the Rfam family "Bacterial small subunit ribosomal RNA", at positions 59 to 519 of the family's 1533-position model. The record is from RNAcentral.